GUGCUAGGACGAACGCUGGCGGCGUGCCUAAUACAUGCAAGUCGAACGGCUUUUCUAUGGAAGCUUGCUUCCACUGAGAAGAUAGUGGCGAACGGGUGAGUAACACGUGGGUAACCUGCCCAUAAGAGGGGGAUAACAUCCGGAAACGGGUGCUAAUACCGCAUAGUUUUCUUGAUCGCAUGAUUGAGAAAGGAAAGACGGCCUUUGUGCUGUCGCUUAUGGAUGGACCCGCGGCGUAUUAGUUAGUUGGUGAGGUAACGGCUCACCAAGACGAUGAUACGUAGCCGACCUGAGAGGGUGAUCGGCCACAUUGGGACUGAGACACGGCCCAAACUCCUACGGGAGGCAGCAGUAGGGAAUCUUCCGCAAUGGACGAAAGUCUGACGGAGCAACGCCGCGUGAGUGAAGAAAAGGUUUUCGGAUCGUAAAACUCUGUUGUCAGAGAAGAACAAGUUGGAGAGUAACUGCUCCAGCCUUGACGGUAUCUGACCAGAAAGCCACGGCUAACUACGUGCCAGCCGCCGC
RNAcentral lists this ribosomal RNA (525 nucleotides) under uncultured bacterium. RNAcentral's name for it is "bacterial SSU rRNA". It matches the Rfam family "Bacterial small subunit ribosomal RNA", at positions 26 to 518 of the family's 1533-position model. The record is from RNAcentral.